This 1419-nucleotide ribosomal RNA is filed under the name Mycobacterium sp. AFPC-000167. RNAcentral describes it as "bacterial SSU rRNA". It matches the Rfam family "Bacterial small subunit ribosomal RNA". The record is from RNAcentral. Lineage: Bacteria; Bacillati; Actinomycetota; Actinomycetes; Mycobacteriales; Mycobacteriaceae.
UGCAAGUCGAACGGAAAGGCCCCUUCGGGGGUACUCGAGUGGCGAACGGGUGAGUAACACGUGGGUAAUCUGCCCUGCACUUCGGGAUAAGCCUGGGAAACUGGGUCUAAUACCGGAUAGGACCACUUGGCGCAUGCCUUGUGGUGGAAAGCUUUUGCGGUGUGGGAUGGGCCCGCGGCCUAUCAGCUUGUUGGUGGGGUGACGGCCUACCAAGGCGACGACGGGUAGCCGGCCUGAGAGGGUGUCCGGCCACACUGGGACUGAGAUACGGCCCAGACUCCUACGGGAGGCAGCAGUGGGGAAUAUUGCACAAUGGGCGCAAGCCUGAUGCAGCGACGCCGCGUGGGGGAUGACGGCCUUCGGGUUGUAAACCUCUUUCAGCAGGGACGAAGCGCAAGUGACGGUACCUGCAGAAGAAGCACCGGCCAACUACGUGCCAGCAGCCGCGGUAAUACGUAGGGUGCGAGCGUUGUCCGGAAUUACUGGGCGUAAAGAGCUCGUAGGUGGUUUGUCGCGUUGUUCGUGAAAACCGGGGGCUUAACCCUCGGCGUGCGGGCGAUACGGGCAGACUGGAGUACUGCAGGGGAGACUGGAAUUCCUGGUGUAGCGGUGGAAUGCGCAGAUAUCAGGAGGAACACCGGUGGCGAAGGCGGGUCUCUGGGCAGUAACUGACGCUGAGGAGCGAAAGCGUGGGGAGCGAACAGGAUUAGAUACCCUGGUAGUCCACGCCGUAAACGGUGGGUACUAGGUGUGGGUUUCCUUCCUUGGAAUCCGUGCCGUAGCUAACGCAUUAAGUACCCCGCCUGGGGAGUACGGCCGCAAGGCUAAAACUCAAAGGAAUUGACGGGGGCCCGCACAAGCGGCGGAGCAUGUGGAUUAAUUCGAUGCAACGCGAAGAACCUUACCUGGGUUUGACAUGCACAGGACGCCGGCAGAGAUGUCGGUUCCCUUGUGGCCUGUGUGCAGGUGGUGCAUGGCUGUCGUCAGCUCGUGUCGUGAGAUGUUGGGUUAAGUCCCGCAACGAGCGCAACCCUUGUCUCAUGUUGCCAGCGGGUAAUGCCGGGGACUCGUGAGAGACUGCCGGGGUCAACUCGGAGGAAGGUGGGGAUGACGUCAAGUCAUCAUGCCCCUUAUGUCCAGGGCUUCACACAUGCUACAAUGGCCGGUACAAAGGGCUGCGAUGCCGCAAGGUUAAGCGAAUCCUUUUAAAGCCGGUCUCAGUUCGGAUCGGGGUCUGCAACUCGACCCCGUGAAGUCGGAGUCGCUAGUAAUCGCAGAUCAGCAACGCUGCGGUGAAUACGUUCCCGGGCCUUGUACACACCGCCCGUCACGUCAUGAAAGUCGGUAACACCCGAAGCCAGUGGCCUAACCUUUUGGAGGGAGCUGUCGAAGGUGGGAUCGGCGAUUGGGACGAAGUCG